AAGUCCAUAAUUUAAUCGGUUAAAAUGUUUCCUUGAUAAGGAAGAUUUAGAUGUUCAAAUCAUCUUGGACUUA
This is a transfer RNA of Pichia membranifaciens, 73 nucleotides long. It matches the Rfam family "tRNA". Rfam says of the family: Transfer RNA (tRNA) molecules are approximately 80 nucleotides in length. Their secondary structure includes four short double-helical elements and three loops (D, anti-codon, and T loops). Lineage: Eukaryota; Fungi; Ascomycota; Pichiomycetes; Pichiales; Pichiaceae. The record is from Rfam.